Molecule: long non-coding RNA, 568 nt
Organism: Malus domestica (apple)
Lineage: Eukaryota; Viridiplantae; Streptophyta; Magnoliopsida; Rosales; Rosaceae
Source: RefSeq, a predicted model, not a curated record
UGAAGUACCCAUGUCACAGCCCGUCCCGGAAUUUUAAUUCCGAGGACGUGAAAAGACCAAAAUGCCCUUAAGCGGAACUAAGGGGCGAAAAUUUAACAAUUGGAUUUACAUUAGUAUGUUUAAAGUUGUGUUUGGACUUAGGUAGGGCCUCCUACCCUCAAAACAUUCCCUAAAACCCGUAACCUUUCCUUCUCUCUCUUUUUCUUCUUUCAUCUCAGAAAACUCUCUCACUCUCUCUCUUACUCUCGAACAUACGGACUCACACCCAACCUCAAUCAAACCUCUACGAACGUUCCAUUUAAGACCACCAUCGUGAUCCUGAGGACUUCACGAGCUCGGGGAUACCAAACUCAGGCCAAACCAAGCUCACAGUGAGCUUAAGGAAGUCCCAAGGAAGCUCGGAGUGCUUCGUUGGAAGUUUUUGGACGUAAGAACACGGAGAUCGACAAGUUCAAAGUUUGGCCGGAGCUUUCGAGGCUCUUUCCGGCGAAUACCCGGCGAGUUAAGAGUUGAGUUUCCGGCGACCUCCGAGGCUUUCGAGGCAGUUUCCGGCCAAACCACGGCGAAC